UACGUAGGGUGCGAGCGUUGCCCGGAUUUAUUGGGCGUAAAGGGCGCGUAGGCGGUGAGAUGCGUCUGUUGUGAAAUCGCUCGGCUCAACUGGGCGGGGUCAGCGGAUACGGUCUCACUUGAGCAAGCUAGGGGGCAAUGGAAUUCCCGGUGUAGUGGUGGAAUGCGUAGAUAUCGGGAGGAACACCAGUGGCGAAGGCG
Molecule: ribosomal RNA, 200 nt
Filed under: uncultured bacterium
Lineage: Bacteria
Description: partial 16S ribosomal RNA
Rfam family: Bacterial small subunit ribosomal RNA
Source: RNAcentral